Molecule: ribosomal RNA, 772 nt
Filed under: Bifidobacterium longum subsp. infantis
Lineage: Bacteria; Bacillati; Actinomycetota; Actinomycetes; Bifidobacteriales; Bifidobacteriaceae
Description: bacterial SSU rRNA
Rfam family: Bacterial small subunit ribosomal RNA
Source: RNAcentral
GCUUGGUGGGAGAGUGGCGAACGGGUGAGUAAUGCGUGACCGACCUGCCCCAUACACCGGAAUAGCUCCUGGAAACGGGUGGUAAUGCCGGAUGUUCCAGUUGAUCGCAUGGUCUUCUGGGAAAGCUUUCGCGGUAUGGGAUGGGGUCGCGUCCUAUCAGCUUGACGGGGGGGUAACGGCCCACCGUGGCUUCGACGGGUAGCCGGCCUGAGAGGGCGACCGGCCACAUUGGGACUGAGAUACGGCCCACACUCCUACGGGAGGCAGCAGUGGGGAAUAUUGCGCAAUGGGCGCAAGCCUGAUGCAGCGACGCCGCGUGAGGGAUGGAGGCCUUCGGGUUGUAAACCUCUUUUAUCGGGGAGCAAGCGUGAGUGAGUUUACCCGUUGAAUAAACACCGGCUAACUACGUGCCAGCAGCCGCGGUAAUACGUAGGGUGCAAGCGUUAUCCGGAAUUAUUGGGCGUAAAGGGCUCGUACGCGGGUCGUCCCGUCCGGUGUGAAAGUCCAUCGCUUAACGGUGGAUCCGCGCCGGGUACGGGCGGGCUUGAGUGCGGGAGGGGAGACUGGAAUUCCCGGUGUAACGGUGGAAUGUGUAGAUAUCGGUAAGAACACCAAUGGCGAAGGCAGGUCUCUGGGCCGUUACUGACGCUGAGGAGCGAAAGCGUGCGGAGCGAACAGGAUUAGAUACCCUGGUAGUCCACGCCGUACACGGUGGAUGCUGGAUGUGGGGCCCGUUCCACGCGUUCCGUGUCGGAGCUAACGCGUUAAGCAU